GUGUCACUAAGGGAUUUAGCUCCCCUUAUUUCCCAGGGUCAUACAUCACAUGUUUGCAAUCCUUGCUCCAGGUACCAUACUUCUGUUCCAGUCACAGAACUCUUGAUUCUCAUAGCCUCAUGGUAUCUUUCUCCUUUGAAUAGCUAACACUUUUAGGGAAAUAAAUCCCUUUUAAGAUUAGCCCACCAAUCAAUCCUCCUUUUUUGUUAACUCCUUUUGGGAUUAUUCUGCUCAACUCCUCUGUGGAUUUAGGCUGCCAAUGAAUGGCAUACUCCUGCCUCAGGGAGUAUUCCCUUUCUCCUGGUUAAUUGUGAGUUCCACUAGGGAACUUGUCUUUUUCAAUGUUAAUUAUUGAAGACUUUUUUAUUUGGGGAAAUAUAUUUUCUUUUUCCUUGCUAAUUAUAUUCUCUCCCAAAUCUUUUUAUUACCUCUUCAUUUUGUCCAUAAUCUCUUAUAAAUAGAAGUACUUUUUGGCAAAGAGAAGGCCUUACACUCAUUGUGCCUUACACCUCAUAUUUCUAACUAGCACUUGCUACACUGGUAUUAUCAAUAGUCCUUAAGAUUUGAGACAAUGGCUACUGCCACAAGACCCAGAAAUACCUAUAUUGUGCCAGGAAAUGCUAACUGUGAAAACUAUCUCAAGAUCUAAGAAUUCAUAAUACAUAUUGUGGACAUUCAUAAUACAAGUCAUAAGACAAUCAUUGUGGACAACCCCUUUCAUGCAUAUAAGUGGCCCCAGUCUUAGCAGCAUUAAACCCUUUCUGCGGGGGAAGGGGGGUUUUCUGUUUGCAAACACCAUUUUCUCACUCUGAAAUAAAUUAAACUUGUGUCCUGAGUCUGCUGUUUCGUCUUACUGGGUUGUCCUACUUCAGCCACCCAUACGUUAGAGGCUGGAUGACGUGUCCAAACUGAUGCACUUGUUCAGAGUCUUCACCAUGUUGGUCACCAGAUAAUAUUUGCCUUUAUCCAGGGCCAAGUAACCGAAUCCGGUCUUUUUUUUUUUUUUUUAAUUUUCCCCAGUUACACAUAAAAACACAUGUUUUUCCUGGUUAUACAUGUACAUUGAUUAAAUUUUUUUUACAUAUUUCCUUAUGAAUCAUAUUGAGACAGAAAAAAUCAGAACCAAAGGGUAAGACUAGGAGAGGAAAAAUAAAAACGAAAAUAAAAGAGAAUCUUUGGAGAAGGGAGGAAAGUCUGACAGGCAAACUAUCCGUUCAUCUGAAUCAUUUCUUGUUUAGAAGGCGGCCUCGCGAGGCCCAUCAAGUUUCUCCAGAAGUCCCAGGACCCCUGUGGAGGGGUGGAGGACGCGACCCCUGCCCAGGGAAAGCGAACUCGGGAGGAGGCGUCUCUGACCCCAAACCCUUUUACCCACCUCCUGAGCUUGGCGCGUUUUUUGGUUGUUCUUGUAGCACAGGAGUGUUCAUUUCAGGGUGUUAAAAAGAAACGAUAACUAGGAAAAACAACAAGGGUUUAUUGCGAUCGUUAUUGCCACCGUUAUUACACAAACGACUUAGAGGAUUCGUUAAUAGAUAAACCCGCACACGAGCACUUCCGCAGGUAACGCGCCUGCGCAUUCACCCAAGACGGCUCCGCUGAUUUCAGAACUACGUUUCCCAGAAGUCCAAGCGAAGCCGUAGGUCUUGUUCCCUAGGCCUGACAGGCGAGGCGACCGUAAAACUCCCGGAAAGGGAAGGCUCCUGCGCACACUUCCGUUCUUACUUGCUCCACGUUAGGCGCGUUGCCAGUCUCCCCUGGCCCUAGGUGAUCCGAAAAAUUUGUUUCCAAAAGGGAGAGGGAAUGGUCCCUGUCAUCCAGCCAGCCACUUUUCAGAUUGUUAUCAAGACAGUUGGCGACCCAGAUGGGACCCGAGUGAGGGCCUCCAGCCCCCGGGACUGCUUCUCAGAAGAACUCUUCUCAAAAGACUGCCCCGGAGGACGGACUGCCCCUCGGGCCUAACCUAAAUUCUUCCGAGCCAAGGUAUGCUGUUAAGAUCACAAACCCAAUUAUCUACCAUUCAAAGGGCUGUCUCGUUCUGCAGUCUUAAGAACUGCUGCAGGUGGAUGAUUACCUUUGGGAGAAAGUUGAGGGGACAACCUUGCGAAGGUGAAGGUAGGAUCCUCUUGACUUGGUUUCCAAUUGAGCUACUUCCUUUCCAAACAGGAAAUUUUCCCACCUGGUUAAUUUUGAGCCUGCCUUUUGGUACCCUAUGAAUAAUGUGGAAUUUAACUAUUACCCUGACCUGGAAUCAAAAUAGAGCUAAGUAUUUUUUUUCCAUGUUAAUAGCUUCUCGAUACCAUCAUAACCAUGUCCCUUCUUUUCCUUUCAUAGCAAAUUUCUAUAAUAAGCACUCAGAAUGAAACCCUUCAGAUUGUAAAGUGGAACCACAUUCUAGAGAUGUAUGGCAGGUAAUUAGUUAUUAGUACUGAAACAUCUGAGUUAUAUGAAUAUGAAAGAUAUUCCAUGAUUUUCAUCUGGGUUGUAGUUAUGUUCUCAUAAGGGGGAAUGGGAGGGGGGGGAGAUGUGAUAGAUCUAUAUGACAAAGAUAGUUUUCGAAAUUGCAUUAAAAACUUCACGUAAAAUUGCAUUCGUAAAUUGUAUCAAUAAUUGUGAAGAGUAUAAUUAUUUUCCUAUUUGAAGUAUUUAUCUUGCAGUUUUAAGAGAAAGAUCUUAUUUUCCGAAUCAAGUCCUCAUGAGUCUUUGGAAGAUCAAGUGUAGGGCUUAAGUAAAGCUAGAAAACUGCGACUGAGAUUCUCUGAAGCUUCAGAGAAUUAGGAAUUCUUAAAUUGAUGUUCUUCUUAUAGCUCUGUUAAUGAAAUCAGAACCACAAGGUGUGAACGGGUUUUUACCAUAUAAACUAUUAUAGCACUAAAUUGCAUUGAGUUUGUAUUAAGUCUUCCUACAUGCUCUUGGAACUUGAGAAGCAGAUCUGGAAGGACGAGCGGCAUCUGUGGCUUCCGACAGCCUAACUGAAAGCACUUCACAAGUGGGGACUGCAGUACAACUUGCCCUUUGGACUUUUUCAUCUGCAUCAAGAAUUGCCGGCAAUCCAGCGGAACCACUUUGUCAGCUCCCUGGCUUCCCUCUCUCUUCCCCCUCCCACUCCCCCCAUGCGCCGCUGCCUCUGUACCAAAGGGGACUGCCCCCUGGGAAUUUUUGUCAAUGCAUCGGCCAUAGGCACUAAAGCUUUAAGCUGUAAAUCAGCCACUUUUUAGUUGUAACAGAUUUUUGCUAGAAUUCUAGCGCUGCUUUCAGUCUUGCACUGUUGCCCGUAGUUCUCUCUCAUGGACAACCGGGUAAUGAAUAAAGCUAUUACUGGACUUCAUGGUCAGGAUUCAUAAAAUCUGCUCCUUGGACCCCAUGAGUGUUGAAUUUGUCACUUAACUCCAGGAAAGGUCUCCCAAGUCAUGGUUGCCUAUUCCUGUCCAGCAUCCCUUUGUUCUUACUUGCUGCUAAUUCUUUGUGGAAUAAUGCCAAUUCUUGGGUUUCUUCGGUGUUUUCCUGACUGGGAGGAAGGGCAUACUAACCCCUGGCCUUCUGUAAAAUGUAUGGACUACUAAAGUGUUCAUACAAGGUAGCAUUGCAGAGACAAAGUUAGUCCAGGGGUUGAGGGUUUUUUUUUUUUUUUUCUGUAAUUAAUGCUUUCUAUUUUUCAUGUUUAUGUGAAGAUCCUUUCUCAGUCGGGUUUCACAUUACCUAUAGAGGCUCCCUGUUGCUAAGGGAUGCUGAUCACGUUUGAUGAUAUCAACAUAGUUUUUAGAUGGUGAGACACAUCUCCCAAAAAUCAAAGCAGGGAAUUGUGGAAUUGAAAAUUGAUACUACACUUUGUUUUGUAUUAUUUAUUAAGGCUUAAUCAGUAUAUGUUAAUGAUCAAGUUGCUGUGUAUCUUAUUGUCCUUUAGUAUGUGAACUUGAACUUUCAACAGACUCCCUUUUUUGAUAUGCCCACCUUCCAUCAACAAAGUAAUCUUUUUUUAUAUCGCUAACUAAGGAAUCUCAUUACUGUUUCCUUAUGCACACUUUAAAAACCACAAACACAAACAACUUGAUUUUGUCCUGUAAUCUGCCUAGUAACCAAGAAAACCCUGAAUUCUAGUUUCCCUUUUCUGGGUAAUUUUUCCCCAUUAAAUUUCGAUUCAAUCAUUAAUCAAUAGCAUACCCCCUCAGAAAGCAUCAACCAGACCACAAGAUGCCUGUUUUCACUUAGAAAGUGUCAACCGUGGUACUUUCUAGACGAUGUUGUUCCAAAUGAUAGACCACCUGGUGACUGAUAAAUUUAUGAUUAGUGACCUUAGUAACAACCAGUCAGAAAUGAGAUGUGCCUGUGUUGCCCAAGAUUGUGUAGGCUAAUUGAUUUCAUUAUACUGACUCUAAGAGAACUGCCUUGAUUGUCACAUGCAUUCUUGGCUACUGAGGAGCCUUGGAUUUUAUUUAUUGGCAAUUGCUAGCUUUGCUAAUAAAUUGAAUGUGCUCAGAA
Antechinus flavipes (yellow-footed antechinus) is the source of this 4473-nucleotide long non-coding RNA. RefSeq lists it as uncharacterized. NCBI's taxonomy places the organism in Eukaryota, Metazoa, Chordata, Mammalia, Dasyuromorphia, Dasyuridae. The record is from RefSeq and is a predicted model, not a curated record. The transcript is spliced from 4 exons.